RNAcentral lists this ribosomal RNA (1062 nucleotides) under Photobacterium angustum. RNAcentral's name for it is "bacterial LSU rRNA". It matches the Rfam family "Bacterial large subunit ribosomal RNA", at positions 696 to 1758 of the family's 2925-position model. Lineage: Bacteria; Pseudomonadati; Pseudomonadota; Gammaproteobacteria; Vibrionales; Vibrionaceae. The record is from RNAcentral.
AUAGUUGCUAGGAUUAGACCCGAAACCGAGUGAUCUAGCCAUGGGCAGGUUGAAGGUGAGGUAACACUUACUGGAGGACCGAACCGACUAAUGUUGAAAAAUUAGCGGAUGACUUGUGGCUAGGGGUGAAAGGCCAAUCAAACUCGGAGAUAGCUGGUUCUCCCCGAAAGCUAUUUAGGUAGCGCCUCGGACGAAUACUACUGGGGGUAGAGCACUGUUAAGGCUAGGGGGUCAUCCCGACUUACCAACCCUUUGCAAACUCCGAAUACCAGUAAGUACUAUCCGGGAGACACACGGCGGGUGCUAACGUCCGUCGUGAAGAGGGAAACAACCCAGACCGCCAGCUAAGGUCCCAAAGUUAUAGCUAAGUGGGAAACGAUGUGGGAAGGCUCAGACAGCCAGGAUGUUGGCUUAGAAGCAGCCAUCAUUUAAAGAAAGCGUAAUAGCUCACUGGUCGAGUCGGCCUGCGCGGAAGAUUUAACGGGGCUAAGCUAUACACCGAAGCUGCGGCAAUGAAGUUUACUUCAUUGGGUAGGGGAGCGUUCUGUAAGCCGUUGAAGGUGAAUCGUAAGGUUUGCUGGAGGUAUCAGAAGUGCGAAUGCUGACAUGAGUAACGAUAAAGGGAGUGAAAAACUCCCUCGCCGGAAGAUCAAGGGUUCCUGUCCAACGUUAAUCGGGGCAGGGUAAGUCGACCCCUAAGGCGAGGCCGAAAGGCGUAGUCGAUGGGAAACGGGUUAAUAUUCCCGUACUUCUUAUAAUUGCGAUGGAGGGACGGAGAAGGCUAGGUGAGCCUGGCGACGGUUGUCCAGGUCCAAGUAUGUAGGCUGAUGGUUUAGGCAAAUCCGGACCAUCUUAAGGCUGAGAUACGAUGUCGAGUUACUACGGUAACGAAGUCAUUGAUGCCAUGCUUCCGGGAAAAGCUUCUAAGCUUCAGAUUAUAAGAAAUCGUACCCCAAACCGACACAGGUGAUCAGGUAGAGAAUACCAAGGCGCUUGAGAGAACUCGGGUGAAGGAACUAGGCAAAAUGGUACCGUAACUUCGGGAGAAGGUACGCUCCUAGC